RNAcentral lists this ribosomal RNA (254 nucleotides) under uncultured Oscillospiraceae bacterium. RNAcentral's name for it is "partial 16S ribosomal RNA". It matches the Rfam family "Bacterial small subunit ribosomal RNA", at positions 88 to 339 of the family's 1533-position model. Lineage: Bacteria; Bacillati; Bacillota; Clostridia; Eubacteriales; Oscillospiraceae. The record is from RNAcentral.
AAACCUAGUGGCGGACUGGUGAGUAACGCGUGAGCAAUCUGCCGCAGAGAGUGGGAUAACACAUGGAAACGUGUGCUAAUACCGCAUAAUGUAUAACCGUGGCAUCACGGAUAUACCAAAGGGAGCAAUCCGCUCUGUGAUGAGCUCGCGUCUGAUUAGGUAGUUGGUGAGGUAACGGCCCACCAAGCCUACGAUCAGUAGCCGGACUGAGAGGUUGACCGGCCACAUUGGGACUGAGAUACGGCCCAGACUCC